This is a long non-coding RNA of Passer domesticus (house sparrow), 3988 nucleotides long. RefSeq lists it as uncharacterized. NCBI's taxonomy places the organism in Eukaryota, Metazoa, Chordata, Aves, Passeriformes, Passeridae. The transcript is spliced from 3 exons. The record is from RefSeq and is a predicted model, not a curated record.
AGGGCGGCUUCACUCAGCUAUGGGUGGAUGAGAGCCAGGCUCCACUCUGGCCAUGAGCUGCCGAGCCAUCCUGCCCGCACCAUGGAAAAUCAUGCGGCUAAAAACAGAGGCAGCCCUGCACAGAAAGAAGCCCCGUGGCUGGAGAGAGCAGGGGCCAGAAAACAGCCAUGCAGCCAGAGAGGCUGCCUGGCAGAGAUCACAUCACCACCCACAGGCCCGGGAGAGAUAUUAACUCUUUCUGUGCACAGAUGAAACUUGCAGACAUCAAUUCUCUCUAGAGUGAGAGUAAAGGAAAGAGUGAAGACACAUAAAGAAAGCAGCACAGAGACACUGAGGUCAGUGAGGAAGGAUUCAAAUCCCACAUGGGAGGAGGAUGAGGAGGUGCCUUAAUCUUAGGCUGAAAUUCUCUUGUAAGGCUAGGGUGAAGAUAUAAUUGAUACAUCAGACUUUUUUUUUUUCCCUGUAACUCAUGGAGUGCACUGGGGGAAUGUAAUGUUCUAACCACAGCCAUGAGCAGAGGCACCAGUAUUGAAGCAAGCAGAUGUUGAAGUAGCUGUGAUCCAAUGAGAACCUUGAACAGAGAGAGAUGAGAAACCUUUCCCCAGGGAUGGAAGAAGAAAACUUCUGUUCCCAGAGAUAAGAGAACUUUUGUUUCUAUACCAGAACAGCUUAUCUUUAAAAUUGCACCCCAAAAAUGUGAAAUGACCCAUGAUGGUAGCUAUGGGAAGACUACCAAACCGUGGGAGGAGCUUCACAAUUGCAGAUUUCUGGACGGCUGCUGUUUGUGAAAAUUAAAAUCAUGAGAGAAUUGUUUCUUAUGGAAAAGUCUUCAUGGCAUGUUGCCACUUGUUGCAAAGCUUUCACACCUUCUUGGUGAUUUCUCAUAGGCAGCUCCUCACAGCACUGACUCCAACUCCUCCUCUGCACAGCCAACAAACUCCAUUUUACAUCUCAACCAGCCAACCUACUCUUUUACAAUACCCCUCCUAAUUGGAUCCAGCUAUGACCUAUUAAGGGUUCCUGGUGUCUCCUGGUGCCAUUCAUCAACUUUCCCCUUGUCCUUUGACAAGAGAGUCUGUGUGUUUCACUCUAAGUUGCAUUGAGAUGUCUCUGAACUGCAUUUUGAAGAUUUACAGGAGUCUCUGCUUCAGGACUACUGGGACCUUUCAGCUUCACUAUUGACUUAAUAAUGUCUCCAGAGUUUUAUUUCAAAACAAAUUCCAGCAGGCAUGCACAGAUUGUCAACUUCCAGAAGCAUUAAAAGAAAAUGCAACAAUGUCAUGGAGGGAAUUCCUGUGCACGGUGCUGUACAUACAGUUACUCCAGCAUCUCUCUGGUCUUAACAGGUCCUUUUUUAUCCCACCUACAGAUUCUUCUCAUAUUGCUACUUAUAAAUGCACAGGUAAAUUUCUCUGGAGAUUUCCAGUCCUGAGCACAGUAGUCAGGAAUUUCCUUGAGAACCAUGUCUGCCAGAGAGGUCAGGAUCUGGGUUUGUACUUCCCUUUCCUCUGGUCUUCUGCUGUUCUGCAUUAGAUGUUCACAGAGUUAUUUUCAUGCCUAAGAACCUUCUGCAACAGUGCAAAAAAGGUAUGGGCAGAUCCUUCUUAAAUAAUCAAAAUAACAUCAAGAUGAAAGUUAACUUUAAGAAAUGUUCCACUAGCAUUUACUCUACUAACAGGAAAAGGUUUUGUCUUUCUGAUCAGCUAAGUCUUUACAAUAUUUUAAUUUUAAUAACUACACUAAACUUUUUAUGCUGUUAUAAUUAAAUUAUCUAUAUGUUCUACUGCUGCAAGUUAUACAAACCUUUGACUACAAUAUCAUGAUUAUUUCUUAGAGAUAUGGGUAUUUAAAAAAGAAUUUUAUUUGUGUUUGCAAAGUUCCCUAGGAUUUGGUGGUUGAAAGAAGUAUGAAAUGUGACUUUCCAGGGAGCAAGAACAGUUUUUCAAAUUGUUUUCUUUGGGUUUUGGGAGAUAUUUUUUUGAGAAGGGAGUCAAUCUUUUGCACUUUGCAUACUUAUAAAAUGAACUUUCUAGUAGCUCCUUUUAAGGUCAGAGGUAAGAGGAAAAACUACUUUUGUGACUACUUUUUUAUUUCUCAACUGCACUUUUUUGGAGAGAUAAAUGUAACAUUUAGCAAAUUCACCCUGCCAGUUUUACUAUUCUGCCCACACUUAGUGAUUCUUCCACUAAAGAGUUAACUGGAGCUUUUGCCCAUCAGAACUACUACCUUUCCUAUCAACAAAUAAUAAUCUUUAAUCUGCUUUUAGAAGUGAUUUAAACCUGCACUAACUGAAGCACUGACUACCAGGAAGGUUGUGAUGGGAAGACCCCUGAGUUAUAGUCUGAGAGAUGCAUAUUUACCAUGAACAGAGAACAUGGAGAAAAUCAAUCAGCUGUCAUUACUUCUCUAGAAACAUCCCAUAAUUCUUUUAAAGAACAGCUGUGUUGCCCUGCAAUUGACCCAACUGAUGGGAAAGAGUUCAUAGGACAUUUAACACAAAAAAACACCUUACACUUGACCACCAAGGCAUGUAAGCAGAAGCAAAGAGAAUAUGGAAACAAUUUCCUGAGGAAAAGUUCAAACCUAGAAUAAACUAAACCCUGUGGGUGCCACUCACCCAGAUUACUCUGCACAGGAGAUGGUCUUGUGGACUGGCUGGCUGUGCUGCACUGCACUUACUGGUGUGUCAGCAUCUUAGUAAGUAUUUGCCAACACUUACCAGACUUUUCUCUUUGAGAACCCAGCAGCAGCUGCUUAAAAUGACAGAAGACCAACAUCUUAAAGUCAAAGUAGCAUGUAAUUGCCAAAGAGGGCAUCUAGGCAAUUUAGGAGUAUAUUAUCACAACAAAGAGACCCAACGGCAUCUUUUCCUGUAUGAGCUCAGAAGACUCAUCUAUUCCUCUAGUAUAGUCCAGCCUGUUUUUUCCCCUGGACUGAGAGAGAUAGGAUGCUUGAUGAGGAUAGCUAUGAUUCAGUUGGGAAUGUUUUGUUAUCUAUUAAAGACUUAAGUCAACUGAAAACUAAUGCAUCAAAUAAUUUUAAAGUAGAAAAAUGUAUAUAGAAUAAUUAUUGAAACAGUAAAAUAAAAUAAUGAGACAAAAAAAUAGACUGUUACAUAUUUUGCAUUAAAAUAAAAAAUUUGUUUUCCUGAAGAACAGGGUAUAGCAACAUUAAUUUAUGUGGCGAUGUCUCCCAUAAAUUUAGGAUUAGAACCAGUCUCCACUCGCCAGCUCAAUAAAUCUAUAAUGAAAACCAGUGUAAUGCCCAAAAUAUUAGUAAAGCCAUACUUCUUUCCCUUCUACAUGUCUUCAUUCUUUAUUAAUGCACAAAAACUUUUCCCCUACAAAUUGGUAGAAGACCAAUAAUGAAUAAAUCAUUCAAAUAAGCCUUUUAGCAGAGCUGUAUGUUAAUGAUAAUCGUCAAUAUCUGACAUUCCCUCAGGAAGAAAGUCAGUAUUUUAAGUUAUUUGCUUUGGGAAAUGUUUGGGCAACAGGCAUUCUUGUUGCUUCAAAACGACAGCAGGGAGUCUGAAGCAUACUGUUAACACCCUCUUGAGUAGAUGUGACUACAUUUUCAACCUAUUGAAAUUCCUGCUGCGUUGCUUUGUAUUUAAUCACAGUCUUUAUUGGCACUUAUUCAUUGUAACUGUACUUUAUUCAUUUAUUCACUUAAAUGUUUAUUCAAAAUUGAAUAUCUAAAACUGUGGCAACAUCUUUCAUGGGCAACAAAUAAAAAUUAAUCCUGCUUGCAUUGCAUGUGCACGUCUAUUCAACAGAUGCCCUGUUAUUGUUUGAUAGAUGCUUGUGCCAGAAAAAGAGCUAGAAGCAUAUUCUGUUUAGUUUAGAAAUAAUUGGUUCUUAAAAGAUUUUCAGUUUUCUAUUUAUCAGAUACACUAACGUAUGUUUAUGCAUACACUCAUUUUAUAGUAAGACUGUCAUUUGUGCUUUCUACAGUAAGAAUUCUGAUUAUUUGCCACAUUCAGAAUUCU